GUAAUAUGAAAAGCUAUGUGUCUGGAGGAGGGGUGGGGGAUGGGGGAAAGGUAGGGAGAUAGGGGAUGGGCAGGAGAGCUAGAAAAAGUAAGUAGGGAUUGGAACAUGAAGGUCCUUAUGGGUUAUGUUGAUGACACAUUCUAUCCUUAAGAGUAAACAGGAAAAAAAUGGCAAUCGAGGAUUUUCAAUAGGAAUGGCAUGAUCAUAUUUUUGCUCUGAAAAGAUCACCUUGACUACUGAGUAGGGAAUGAAUUAAGAGAAGGAACUGGAGUCAGAGAGACCAGUUGGCAGCAGCUCAGGGCACUGUGUCGAUGAUAAUGGCUCUAGGGAUAGAGAGAUGAGACCUGGUGUAGAAAUGACUUGGUGGCAGUGGUAGGGGAGAUGUCGGGAAAAGCAAGGGUUAAGGAUGACGUUUUGGCUCCUGGGUUGGCAAUUGUGGGAUGGUGGUCCCAUUAAUUGAGAUAUGGGACGGACGAGGAGGCAUGCAGUGGGAGGGAAAUCGAGUUCAGUUUGAAACACACUGAGUUUGAAUUGCUCGUGGGAAGUCCAACGAGGUGUUUAGGAAGCUGUUGGGUAGAUACAAGCCCGAAGGUCAGAUGGGAAACUAGCUGUAUAGACGUGCGUGCGUGCGUGUGUGUGUGCGUGGUGGGGGCAGUGAUGAGAGUCGAUGGGAUCACCAAGAGAUACUAGAAGAGAAGAGGGCCAUGGACAGAACCCCAAGGAAAAUCAACAUUUAAGAAACCGAAAGUGAGAAAGAAAAUUGACUCAAACCUGGUCUGGGACAGAGAUUUUUUGUGUGAUGUAAUUUACAACUCCUUCUGGGAAGCAAUUAGCAUUCCUGAUAAAGUGCCUGAACAGUUUUCUGACAGACUUUAAUAAGACUGAGAACUCCUUCUGGGAAGCUAGGGUUACCCAUCCAGCUGAUUGACUAGCCUAAUAAUCUUUAACCAGAUGUUCGUUUUUUAAAUUCCAUUCUAAACAUGGUUGGUGAACCAUUCUUUUUUUCUUAUAAAACGUCUCAACUAAAAUGACUCCUUCAGUUGAUUCGUUUCAACAAGCUUUUUCUCAUGUACUCAAAAACAAUUUGUUUGAGGCAUCGCUUUAACAAAAGAGAAAGAGGACCCGGCAAGAGAGUGAGAAAAGGCCAGGUAGGAAGGAGAGAAAGCAGAUGGCGGUUGGAGUUAUGGACACCAGGAGAAAGUAGGCGUGCGUGGACGACAGCGUCGCAUGCUAGUGAGAGGUGAAGUAAAACACAGCAGGGUUAGAGAAAAUCUUUUCCAAUUUCGAACCUCCUCAAAUGUCAGCUGUCUCGGACAUUUCCAUCUGGUUAAACUAAAUGAUCUCUCCUGUCCCCCUGUCAGACUUGUUUCUCUUUGCUCUCUUAACUUGUGCUAAAAGUAUAAAAAUCAACAAAAUUAAAACAACCAAAUCAAAAACAAGCAAAAGAAAACAAACAGCAACGACAACAAAACGGAAGAAACCAAGAACACCAGGAAAGAAGAAUGCAGGCGGUCCUGACGCCAGCAGCGAAGCAGCUCAGUUAUCGGCCUCCUAGUCGUGACCCUCCUAGUCGUGACUUACAGUUGAAGGUUGUGAUCACCUAAUUAGCUGUUCAGGACUAGUGACCUCACCGACCGGUCAGACAGGGUGCUCUAGUCCUAAUCUCUUAUCCAUGACCUCUUGGGGUUCAGGCAUAGGCUAAAUGUGGCUCUCAACUGUACUGUUCUUGUAUAGAGUAUGCCCACACAUGUCUCUUUGAACAAGAUCCCCUCCCACCCGCAAAAAUACCAUUCAAAAAAGUUAAUAAAAAGUUAUCCUAUCCAUCAUUUAGUUAUUAAAAUUAUUAUUUUUUAAUUAUUUGACAACCAAAGCCCUCUUUAGAACAAGGUUUGUUUGGGGCAUGAAUUCAAAGUUUCAAACAAAGUACAAAUAAACUUUUGGAACACAACCUAUUUCAUCCAAGAGAGCACUUGUGCAAUAAAAAAUUCUGUCUGUGCAUUGCAAUGUAUACCAACUGGCAAUGUUAUCUGCCAAUAAGAAUUUCUUGCUCAUUUUUCUAAAGGCAUAAGAUAGGACUUCAGUGUAUGCAUCUACCUCACUUCAAAUAUGAACAAUCCUGAAUUUCUCGUCAAGGCCUUAUAAUUCUUUACUUAUAGAAUAGACACAAAGGAAAUGACUAAACAUUUAUAGGUAUAAUCAUAUGGUUUCUAAUCAGGAAUAUGAAUAUAACUAUCCAAAUUUUUAUUCCAUAAGACUGCAUUAUUAUGGAUGAUAAUAAUUAAACUGUGUAUGAAUACAGCAAAAUAUAAGGGACAUAUAGAACUGUAAUUAUCACCAGAACACCGAUCAGGUCAGAAAAUACUAGAAUCUUAAUAUUUCAACUACACUGAUUGUAGCUAUUUUCUUGAAUGUCCUUUCAUUUCUGAUAAUUGUGAAUUAACACAACCAUUCUCGAGACUGGGAAAUGGUGAUCCUCAGUGAUUUUGUAAGGCAAGACAGUAAGUGACAGAGUGGAAUCAGAAACUUGUUUUCCUGAUUGUCGGCCUAGUACUUCUUAUUCUAGAGCUGCCAAAAGGCGAACCAUGUUGUUGCCUUUCCCAUUUUAGAAACAGGUUAUAUCAACGUUUCCUCUGUGGUCUGAUGGCAAAAGGUCCCUAUUUAAAAAAUGUCAACAGUUGAUCAUUAAAAACAAAUGUCUUCUUACAUGUUUUUUGACAAUUCAAGUUGUCUUCCAGUUCUUCAAACAACCACUUUCUCAAUUUGGUAAGAAUAAUCAGAAUUAGAUGUUGAAUUCGAUCUUAUCUAUCAUCUCAGUGGGGAAACCAAGGCCCAAAGAGAUUUAUCCAGGGUUUUAGUGUGAGUUGAUGGGAGUCUCCUGACUUCUAGUCGAGGGCUAUUUACAGCACGUGGCAAGCACUACCUCAGACACCAGUGUUAUGAAAAGUUGGUGUGAGGUGUUCCCGGGACCAUAAGUCCUAAUCAGCGUGUCACUGAGUGGCAAAUGCGAUUGAAAAAAUUGGGGUGGGGGGAGAAUAAGUGAAAGAACUCUGGCUGGAAUGUAGCAGUUGCAAUUUUCCAUGAAUAGAAGACCAAAAAGGGAUAUGACGCAGAUGGCCGAGGGAAUCGGUAACCUCCUAUUGCGAGGGUUUCUGCUGGGAACUUUAAUGAGGUUAUCUAAUUCCUCUUAACAACCCUUUAGGUAGGUAGGGGCUGUUAACCUCAUUUUAUUACUCAUGAAAUUGAGGCUCAGCAUCUGUAAUUUACCCCACAGUCACACAAGUUGAUAAUUGGUAGAGCCAGGUCCGAAGCAGAGUCUGUCUGGCUAUGAACCUGUGUACUUUUACUCCUGUAGUAGAGUAUGUGUAAGGCGAACCAUUGAAAAUAAUAACUGCAGUGCAAUACCAAUAAAGGUAAUAAUGAUA
Long non-coding RNA from Pteropus alecto (black flying fox), 3422 nucleotides. RefSeq lists it as uncharacterized. The record is from RefSeq and is a predicted model, not a curated record. The transcript has 2 exons. NCBI's taxonomy places the organism in Eukaryota, Metazoa, Chordata, Mammalia, Chiroptera, Pteropodidae.